UACGUAGGGGGCAAGCGUUAUCCGGAUUUACUGGGUGUAAAGGGGGCGUAGACGGCGAAGAAAGUCUGAAGUGAAAGCCCGCGGCUCAACCGCGGAAUGGCUUUGGAAACUUUUUUGCUGGAGUACCGGAGAGGUAAGCGGAAUUCCUAGUGUAGCGGUGAAAUGCGUAGAUAUUAGGAGGAACGCCAGUGGCGAAGGCGGCUUACUGGACGGUAACUGACGUUGAGGCUCGAAAGCGUGGGGAGCAAACAGG
RNAcentral lists this ribosomal RNA (253 nucleotides) under uncultured bacterium. RNAcentral describes it as "partial 16S ribosomal RNA". It matches the Rfam family "Bacterial small subunit ribosomal RNA", at positions 524 to 776 of the family's 1533-position model. The record is from RNAcentral.